RNAcentral lists this ribosomal RNA (253 nucleotides) under uncultured bacterium. RNAcentral describes it as "partial 16S ribosomal RNA". It matches the Rfam family "Bacterial small subunit ribosomal RNA", at positions 524 to 776 of the family's 1533-position model. The record is from RNAcentral.
UACGUAGGUGGCAAGCGUUGUCCGGAAUUAUUGGGCGUAAAGAGCUCGUAGGCGGCUUGUCGCGUCGUUCGUGAAGACCUGCAGCUCAACUGCAGGCUUGCGGUCGAUACGGGCAGGCUAGAGUUCGGUAGGGGAGACUGGAAUUCCUGGUGUAGCAGUGAAAUGCGUAGAUAUCAGGAGGAACACCGAUGGCGAAGGCAGGUCUCUGGGCUGACACUGACGCUCAUGCACGAAAGCGUGGGGAGCAAACAGG